RNAcentral lists this ribosomal RNA (64 nucleotides) under Parmelia omphalodes. RNAcentral describes it as "partial 28S ribosomal RNA". It matches the Rfam family "Eukaryotic large subunit ribosomal RNA", at positions 36 to 99 of the family's 3401-position model. The record is from RNAcentral. Lineage: Eukaryota; Fungi; Ascomycota; Lecanoromycetes; Lecanorales; Parmeliaceae.
AAGCAUAUCAAUAAGCGGAGGAAAAGAAACCAACAGGGAUUGCCUCAGUAACGGCGAGUGAAGC